UACGUAGGGUGCGAGCGUUAAUCGGAAUUACUGGGCGUAAAGAGUGCGUAGGCGGUUCUUGAAGUCCGCUGUGAAAGCCCCGGGCUUAACCUGGGAAUGGCAGUGGAAACUGGGGGACUUGAAUUGAGCAGAGGGGGGUGGAAUGCCGCGUGUAGCAGUGAAAUGCGUAGAUAUGUGGAGGAACACCGAUGGCGAAGGCAGCCCCCUGGGUCAAGACUGACGCUCAUGCACGAAAGCGUGGGGAGCAAACAGG
This 253-nucleotide ribosomal RNA is filed under the name uncultured bacterium. RNAcentral describes it as "partial 16S ribosomal RNA". It matches the Rfam family "Bacterial small subunit ribosomal RNA", at positions 524 to 776 of the family's 1533-position model. The record is from RNAcentral.